CGCGUGUGUGAAGAAGGCCUUUUGGUUGUAAAGCACUUUAAGCGGGGAAGAAGACCUAACGGUUAAUACCCGUUAGGGAUGACAUUACCUGCAGAAUAAGCACCGGCUAACUCUGUGCCAGCAGCCGCGGUAAUACAGAGGGUGCAAGCGUUAAUCGGAAUUACUGGGCGUAAAGCGAGCGUAGGUGGCUUGAUAAGUCAGAUGUGAAAUCCCCGGGCUUAACCUGGGAACUGCAUCUGAUACUGUUAAGCUAGAGUAGGUGAGAGGGAAGUAGAAUUCCAGGUGUAGCGGUGAAAUGCGUAGAGAUCUGGAGGAAUACCGAUGGCGAAGGCAGCUUCCUGGCAUCAUACUGACACUGAGGUUCGAAAGCGUGGGUAGCAAACAGGAUUAGAUACCCUGGUAGUCCACGCCGUAAACGAUGUCUACUAGUCGUUGGGUCCCUUGAGGACUUAGUGACGCAGCUAACGCAAUAAGUAGACCGCCUGGGGAGUACGGCCGCAAGGUUAAAACUCAAAUGAAUUGACGGGGGCCCGCACAAGCGGUGGAGCAUGUGGUUUAAUUCGAUGCAACGCGAAGAACCUUACCUGGUCUUGACAUACACAGAAUCUUGUAGAGAUACAAUAGUGCCUUCGGGAAUUGUGAUACAGGUGCUGCAUGGCUGUCGUCAGCUCGUGUCGUGAGAUGUUGGGUUAAGUCCCGCAACGAGCGCAACCC
Molecule: ribosomal RNA, 714 nt
Filed under: Psychrobacter sp. HH33A
Lineage: Bacteria; Pseudomonadati; Pseudomonadota; Gammaproteobacteria; Moraxellales; Moraxellaceae
Description: bacterial SSU rRNA
Rfam family: Bacterial small subunit ribosomal RNA
Source: RNAcentral